This 1232-nucleotide long non-coding RNA is filed under the name Sus scrofa (pig). Its description in RNAcentral is "lncRNA (ENSSSCG00015011744.1)". Lineage: Eukaryota; Metazoa; Chordata; Mammalia; Artiodactyla; Suidae. The record is from RNAcentral.
UAUGCCUGAUGCAGAAGCCACAGCUCAGGUGAAAAUCGUGAACCUACAGGGGAGGGAUCUCCUUCAAGACAGUUUGGGUGGUUGUCAGGUCAUCCGCCUGCCCUCCAGGGCCACUGCAAAUGGUGUCUUGCUGUCUAAGAGAGUCCCGCAGAGGAGGUAUAUGAACCAAUUCUCUCUUUGGCUUAGGCUGGGUUGUACUGAGUUCUCUCCCUUGCGACCCAAAGAGCCCUAACUGCUGCAGUGACUUAGAGUUUUAUCUUAUAUGAAAGAUCCUUCCUGUAGGCUUCUCUACCGGAUUGGUCAAGAGAGGUUUCCAAACCUGAACCAAAGGUAAUAAGCCAUCCCCCUCCCCCAGGGCUUGUUAGAAAGACUGGCUAGUGGGACUGGCAUUAGCACACACCUGGGAUGUCAACACUUUCUGUCUCCUGGUUCUGGUGGACGCCCAAGCACUUAUCUCUCAUGUCAGUAACAGGACUGUCAAGCAAAGACCUGCAUUCUAAAUUCCAUUUAAGCUCUUUCUGCAGAGCUGGGUAACCAAAGGAGACAGCCAUGGAAAAUAUAUGACUUUCAUUAUUAUGACAUGGAAAGCAGAGCUGCCUAAUUGCUUUUGUCCACUGGUGUAUAAAGAUUGAGACCAGAUGUGUUGAAAAAAAAAAAGGGAAAAGAAAGAAAGAAAAAGGCUCGUGUUGGUCGUUGCUUUGAACAAAGCAGUCUGAUUUCCUCUCUCUCUCUUUCUCCUCCCCCUACCCCCCUGUCUCCCCCUCCUCUCUAGGGGGAGGAUCAUACGAAAGUCUUUUAACUGCUUGUAAGUUUUCAUAACCUCGCUGAUUUUGCUUUUCGCAGAAGAUAAAAUUGUGAAAUUGGCUUGAAAACUUUAUUUUCGCCUCCCUCGAUUCAAAGUGGAAGGGCUGGGCGGGAGUUAGCGGAGUACUUCCUCCCAGGACAGCUGCGGGUCCCAGCGCAGAUCGGACUCUCCUCCUCGGUGCCAGCUCAGCUCCUUAAUGAAGUCUUCACGUGGAGAUCCGAUCCACGGGAAUGGGUGAGAGAAUGGUCGUCUUUAAAUAGAACCGCCCAGAGCCCGGCUUCUGUGUUUCAUUUUCCAGAAGAGCCCUUCAAUCUGCUUCAACGUUUUUUUUUUUCUUUACCUCUCCAGUUAUUUUUAGCACCCCCAGCCACAGAGCCCAGCAGGCCCGCAGAGGCCCUAAUGACGUACCCAGUUGGACGAGUGGAGA